This 336-nucleotide unclassified non-coding RNA is filed under the name soil metagenome. RNAcentral's name for it is "partial contains 5.8S ribosomal RNA, internal transcribed spacer 2, and large subunit ribosomal RNA". The stretch from base 1 to 120 matches the Rfam family "5.8S ribosomal RNA", at positions 35 to 154 of the family's 154-position model. The record is from RNAcentral.
GAUGAAGAACGUAGCGAAAUGCGAUAAGUAGUGUGAAUUGCAGAAUUCAGUGAAUCAUCGAAUCUUUGAACGCACAUUGCGCCCAUUAGUAUUCUAGUGGGCAUGCCUGUUCGAGCGUCAUUUCAACCCUUAAGCCUAGCUUAGUGUUGGGAAUCUGCUGUAUUGCAGUUCCUCAAAUACAACGGCGGAUCUGUAACAUCCUCUGAGCGUAGUAAAUUUUUAUCUCGCUUUUGUUAGGUGUUGCAGCUCUCAGCCGCUAAACCCCCCAAUUUUUGUGGUUGACCUCGGAUCAGGUAGGAAUACCCGCUGAACUUAAGCAUAUCAAUAAGCGGAGGA